UUUAUUGCAAAAUCAUUUUAACAACACAAUAAAAUGUAAUUUUCAUUCAGAUCAUAACAUUCAAGCUCUAGCAUACACAACAUUCAAGCUCUAGCAUACAAAACAUUCAAUAUAUAUGAAAGAUUAUUGUGACCAAUGUUACAUAGAUUUCUGACAUUGCUUGACCCUUUGGUAUAAUGCUUAGCAGGGUAGUUCUUUACUCUUAUCCAUGUAUACCUAUAAUUAACUCACACAAGUUACUCAUAAUUUUUGGUGGCAUAUAUAUAUAUCUAAAUAAUCUUAAUUUCAAAAUGAAUAUCUGCAAUACAAAAUCAUCUCAAUAAUAAAACAAAAUCAACAAUUAUUAGGAAAAGCAUAUGGAUUUUGCACAAAUGCAG
RNAcentral lists this long non-coding RNA (377 nucleotides) under Mytilus galloprovincialis (Mediterranean mussel). Lineage: Eukaryota; Metazoa; Mollusca; Bivalvia; Mytilida; Mytilidae. The record is from RNAcentral.